GACGAACGCUGGCGGCGUGCCUAACACAUGCAAGUGGAGCGACGAACCGGGCUUCGGCCCGGGGCCAAGCCGCGAACGGGUGAGUAACACGUGGGUAACCUGCCCUGAUGAUUGGGACAACCCGAGGAAACUCGGGCUAAUACCGAAUGUGCCCUCCGACCAUAAGGUCUGCGGGGAAAGGAAGCUUCGGCCUCCGCAUCGGGAUGGGCCCGCGGCGCAUUAGCUUGUUGGUGAGGUAACGGCUCACCAAGGCGACGAUGCGUAGCUGGUCUGAGAGGACGAUCAGCCACACUGGGACUGAGACACGGCCCAGACUCCUACGGGAGGCAGCAGUGGGGAAUCUUGCGCAAUGCGCGAAAGCGUGACGCAGCAACGCCGCGUGGGG
This 385-nucleotide ribosomal RNA is filed under the name uncultured bacterium. RNAcentral describes it as "bacterial SSU rRNA". It matches the Rfam family "Bacterial small subunit ribosomal RNA", at positions 28 to 406 of the family's 1533-position model. The record is from RNAcentral.